AACGCACAUUGCGCCCUCUGGCAUUCCGGAGGGCACGCCUGUUCGAGCGCCAUCGCACCCUCCAAGCUCUGCUUGAUGUUGGACGCUGCGAAGUGCCGCACGUCUGGAACGCGUGGGCGUCCGGCCUGUCGAGACACCGCGAGCGUAGCAAGGCUGCAAAAGUCAAUUUCGCUCGGUCGGGACUCCAGCGGACCGCCUCUCUCUGGGACCCGCCGCCUAAAAACGGAGGGGACCCAACCCACUAGAGUUUGGCCUCGGAUCAGGCGGGGAUACCCGCUGAACUUAA
Molecule: unclassified non-coding RNA, 286 nt
Filed under: uncultured Venturiales
Lineage: Eukaryota; Fungi; Ascomycota; Dothideomycetes
Description: sequence contains 5.8S rRNA gene, ITS2, 28S rRNA gene
Source: RNAcentral